GGGCGUGUAGUUCAUUGGCAGAACGUCUCCCUGAUAAGGAGAAAGUAGUAGGUUCGAUUCCUACCACGCCCA
Molecule: transfer RNA, 72 nt
Filed under: bacterium
Lineage: Bacteria
Description: tRNA-Ile
Rfam family: tRNA
About the family: Transfer RNA (tRNA) molecules are approximately 80 nucleotides in length. Their secondary structure includes four short double-helical elements and three loops (D, anti-codon, and T loops).
Source: RNAcentral